RNAcentral lists this non-coding RNA (45 nucleotides) under Schistosoma margrebowiei. The record is from RNAcentral. Lineage: Eukaryota; Metazoa; Platyhelminthes; Trematoda; Strigeidida; Schistosomatidae.
AUUCAGCCGAUGAAUCCCAAGUAGGACGAAAUGCGCAUCUUAAAU